GACGAACGCUGGCGGCGUGCUUAACACAUGCAAGUCGAACGGUGAAGCGCCUUCCUUUUUGGUGGGUGUGGAUGAGUGGCGAACGGGUGAGUAACACGUGAGUAACCUGCCCCCUUCUUCUGGAUAACCGCAUGAAAGUGUGGCUAAUACGGGAUAUUCUGGGUCUGUCGCAUGAUGGGUCUGGGAAAGAUAUUGUUUCGGUGGGGGAUGGGCUCGCGGCCUAUCAGCUUGUUGGUGUGGUGAUGGCCUACCAAGGCGGUGACGGGUAGCCGGCCUGGGAGGGUGGGCGGCCAUACUGGGGAGGAGACACGGCGCAGACUCCGACGGGAGGCAGCAGUGGAGAAUAUUGCACAAUGGGAGCAAGGCUGAUGCAGCGACGCCGCGUGAGGGAUGGAGGCCUGCGGGUUGUGAACCUCUUUCGCCAGUGAAGCAGGCCUGCCUCGUUUGUGGGUGGGUUGACGGUAGCUGGAUAAGAAGCGCCGGCUAACUACGUG
This 494-nucleotide ribosomal RNA is filed under the name uncultured bacterium. RNAcentral's name for it is "partial 16S ribosomal RNA". It matches the Rfam family "Bacterial small subunit ribosomal RNA", at positions 28 to 507 of the family's 1533-position model. The record is from RNAcentral.